AACUUAUCAAAGUAUUAUUGUUUUGUAAUAUGCUUUGGAUUGUGGGAGUGCCGGAGUGUUCGCGCCCAGCUCUUCUGAAAAGUAUUAGCUUUGAGGCAAUCGGUGUGAUAAUUAGUCUACACCUCUUUAUGUCUCGGCUUGUUUUUAUUUAUGACUU
RNAcentral lists this unclassified non-coding RNA (157 nucleotides) under uncultured Amanita. RNAcentral's name for it is "sequence contains ITS2". Lineage: Eukaryota; Fungi; Basidiomycota; Agaricomycetes; Agaricales; Amanitaceae. The record is from RNAcentral.